AAGGGGGUAGCAAUACAACCGGCGCACGGGUGAGUAACGCGUACACAACAUACCAUAUACUGGGGUAUAGCUUCGGGAAACUGGAGAUAAUCCCCCAUAACAUUGCGAGAGGGCAUCUGAUUGCAAUUAAAGUUUCGACGGUAUAUGAUUGUGUGCGUUUGAUUAGCUUGUUGGUAGGGUAACGGCCUACCAAGGCGACGAUCAAUAGCUGGCGUGAGAGCGCGACCAGCCACACUGGAACUGAGACACGGUCCAGACUCCUACGGGAGGCAGCAGUAGGGAAUAUUGGACAAUGGGCGAAAGCCUGAUCCAGCCAUGCCGCGUGAUAGAUGAAGGCCCUCUGGGUUGUAAAUAUCUUUUAUCUGGGAAGAAACUCCUCUAUUCUUAGAGGCCUGACGGUACCAGAGGAAUAAGCACCGGCUAACUCCGUG
Molecule: ribosomal RNA, 431 nt
Filed under: uncultured bacterium
Lineage: Bacteria
Description: bacterial SSU rRNA
Rfam family: Bacterial small subunit ribosomal RNA
Source: RNAcentral